GAGUUUGAUCCUGGCUCAGGAUAAACGCUGGCGGCGCACAUAAGACAUGCAAGUCGAACGAACUUAAUUUUAAUGUUUACAUUAAAAAGCGGUUAGUGGCGGACUGGUGAGUAACGCGUAAGCAAUCUGCCUAUUAGAGGGGAAUAACAGUGAGAAAUCACUGCUAAUACCGCAUAUGCCAAAAGCACCCAUGGUUUUUGGGGGAAAGGGUUAUCCAUUAAAAGAGGCCGUCGGUUUGAUAAGUUAGUUGUGGGGGUAAUGCCUUACCAAGGCAAAGGAUCGGUACCCGAAAUGGAGGGUUUAUCGCCCACUUUGGGAUUGAGUUACGGCCCAGAUUCCUACGGGGAGCACCAUUCGGGAAUAUUGCCCAAUGGAGGAAAUUCUGGAGCCAGUGACGCCGCGUAUAGGAAGAAGGUUUUCGGAUUGUAAACUAUUGUCGUUAGGGAAGAUAAAAGCCAGUACCUAAGGAGGAAGCUCCGGCUAACUACGUGCCAGCAGCCGCGGUAAUACGUAGGGAGCAAGCGUUAUCCGGAUUUAUUGGGUGUAAAGGGUGCGUAGACGGGAAAUUAAGUUAGUUGUGAAAUCCCUCGGCUCAACUGAGGAACUGCAACUAAAACUGGUUUUCUUGAGUGCAGGAGAGGUAAGUGGAAUUCCUAGUGUAGCGGUGAAAUGCGUAGAUAUUAGGAGGAACACCAGUGGCGAAGGCGACUUACUGGACUGUAACUGACGUUGAGGCACGAAAGUGUGGGGAGCAAACAGGAUUAGAUACCCUGGUAGUCCACACCGUAAACGAUGGAUACUAGGUGUAGGGUGUAUUAAGCAUUCUGUGCCGUCGCAAACGCAGUAAGUAUCCCACCUGGGGAGUACGGCCGCAAGGUUGAAACUCAAAGGAAUUGACGGGGGCCCGCACAAGCAGUGGAGUAUGUGGUUUAAUUCGAAGCAACGCGAAGAACCUUACCAGGGCUUGACAUAUAGAGGAAUAUAUUAGAGAUAAUAUAGCUCUUCGGAGUCUCUAUACAGGUGGUGCAUGGUUGUCGUCAGCUCGUGUCGUGAGAUGUUGGGUUAAGUCCCGCAACGAGCGCAACCCCUGUUUCUAGUUGCCAGCACAUAAUGGUGGGAACUCUAGAAAGACUGCCGGUGAUAAAUCGGAGGAAGGUGGGGAUGACGUCAAAUCAUCAUGCCCUUUAUGUCCUGGGCUACACACGUACUACAAUGGCCGCUACAGAGGGAAGCAGAGUAGUGAUACUAAGCAAAACCCAAAAAACGGUCUCAGUUCGGAUUGAAGGCUGAAAUUCGCCUUCAUGAAGCUGGAAUUGCUAGUAAUGGCAGGUCAGCAUACUGCCGUGAAUACGUUCCCGGGCCUUGCACACACCGCCCGUC
RNAcentral lists this ribosomal RNA (1380 nucleotides) under uncultured bacterium. Its description in RNAcentral is "bacterial SSU rRNA". It matches the Rfam family "Bacterial small subunit ribosomal RNA". The record is from RNAcentral.